GGGGAAUAUUGCACAAUGGGCGAAAGCCUGAUGCAGCAACGCCGCGUGAGUGAUGAAGGCCUUCGGGUUGUAAACCUCUGUCUUUUGGGACGAAGCAAGUGACGGUACCAAAAGAGGAAGCCACGGCUAACUACGUGCCAGCAGCCGCGGUAAUACGUAGGUGGCAAGCGUUGUCCGGAUUUACUGGGCGUAAAGGAUGCGUAGGCGGAUAUUUAAGUGAGAUGUGAAAAUCCCGGGCUUAACUUGGGAACUGCAUUUCAAACUGGGUAUCUAGAGUGCAGGAGAGGAAAGCGGAAUUCCUAGUGUAGCGGUGAAAUGCGUAGAGAUUAGGAAGAACACCAGUGGCGAAGGCGGCUUUCUGGACUGUAACUGACGCUGAGGCAUGAAAGCGUGGGGAGCAAAC
This 403-nucleotide ribosomal RNA is filed under the name uncultured bacterium. RNAcentral's name for it is "bacterial SSU rRNA". It matches the Rfam family "Bacterial small subunit ribosomal RNA", at positions 356 to 773 of the family's 1533-position model. The record is from RNAcentral.